UACGGGGGGGGCUAGCGUUGCUCGGAAUGACUGGGCGUAAAGGGCGCGUAGGCGGUUUGGACAGUCAGAUGUGAAAUUCCUGGGCUCAACCUGGGGGCUGCAUUUGAUACGUUCGGACUAGAGUGGGGAAGAGGGUCGUGGAAUUCCCAGUGUAGAGGUGAAAUUCGUAGAUAUUGGGAAGAACACCGGUGGCGAAGGCGGCGACCUGGUCCUUGACUGACGCUGAGGCGCGAAAGCGUGGGGAGCAAACAGG
This 253-nucleotide ribosomal RNA is filed under the name uncultured bacterium. Its description in RNAcentral is "partial 16S ribosomal RNA". It matches the Rfam family "Bacterial small subunit ribosomal RNA", at positions 524 to 776 of the family's 1533-position model. The record is from RNAcentral.